RNAcentral lists this unclassified non-coding RNA (698 nucleotides) under Bombus terrestris (buff-tailed bumblebee). Its description in RNAcentral is "misc RNA ENSBTSG00005030251.1". The record is from RNAcentral. Lineage: Eukaryota; Metazoa; Arthropoda; Insecta; Hymenoptera; Apidae.
CUCAACUUUUCUACGCUGAAAACCAAUCAUCGUGUUACAUCAAUCUUCUCCCUAGGCAUCCCAGAAGAAGCUGGCCUACCAUUUCGAUCGCAGUUUCUUAUCUACCUUCCGCGGAUUCGUCUUAUUGUACUUCUUACCUGUUAGCCGGUGUCCGAUCAGAUAGCGCUAAAUCGUCUGCCGAGCAGCGUCCCUUCUUACGUGCUGUGUCAACAACGGGAGAUUCCGGUCAUAGUUGCCAUUUGUUCGACCUAUCGAUCCAUCAACCACUUCGAUCUGCCAAACUCCCGAACCAAUAAUUCAGUCCCGGUCAACUCUACUCUCUUCCAUUGAACUUCAUUUCGUCCGCAACUCGUCUUCCUUUUUCCCUCUACACUUCCACUCUGGUACAACGAUCACAGUGGCUGAACAGUUUCCACUAGAAGGUCCAUACGAGGUCGUUUGUUUCCUGAAAUCUCGCUCGAAAGCGCCAGUCCUUUGUGUCUCGACGCCUUUGUCUCGCACAAACGACAAAAACUAAUGGUCCAUUUCGAACAAGCCGCCUCUUAACCAACAAACGAAGCGACAAAUUUUCACGAUAUAUUUCUUCCCCUUUGUUCUCCGAUUUCUAAUGCACACGAUCUGAGCAACAGUUUCGAUAAGACUCGAUCUAACGUCGAAGGAAUGGAUGCGUCGCGUUGGCCGGGUUGCCGGUCUGGAAG